RNAcentral lists this ribosomal RNA (292 nucleotides) under uncultured bacterium. RNAcentral's name for it is "partial 16S ribosomal RNA". The record is from RNAcentral.
GGACUACUGGGGUAUCUAAUCCUGUUUGAUCCCCACGCUUUCGUGUAUGAGUGUCAGUAUAGGACCAGGUCGCCGCCUUCGCCGCCGGUGUUCCUCCGCAUAUCUACGUAUUUCACCACUACAUGCGGAAUUCCACGACCCUCUUCCAUACUCAAGUUUUGUAGUUUUGAAUGCACUUCUUGGGUUAAGCCCAAGGAUUUCACAUCCAACUUUCAAAGCCACCUGCACACGCUUUACGCCCAAUAAUUCCGAACAACGCUAGGACCCCCCGUCUUACCGCGGCGGCUGGCAC